RNAcentral lists this ribosomal RNA (397 nucleotides) under uncultured bacterium. RNAcentral describes it as "partial 16S ribosomal RNA". It matches the Rfam family "Bacterial small subunit ribosomal RNA", at positions 523 to 918 of the family's 1533-position model. The record is from RNAcentral.
AUACGAAGGGUGCAAGCGUUACUCGGAAUUACUGGGCGUAAAGCGUGCGUAGGUGGUUGUUUAAGUCUGUCGUGAAAGCCCUGGGCUCAACCUGGGAAUGGCGAUGGAAACUGGGCGACUAGAGUGUGGCAGAGGGUAGUGGAAUUCCUGGUGUAGCAGUGAAAUGCGUAGAGAUCAGGAGGAACAUCCGUGGCGAAGGCGACUGCCUGGGCCAACACUGACACUGAGGCACGAAAGCGUGGGGAGCAAACAGGAUUAGAUACCCUGGUAGUCCACGCCCUAAACGAUGCGAACUGGAUGUUGGGUGCAAUUUGGCACUCAGUAUCGAAGCUAACGCGUUAAGUUCGCCGCCUGGGGAGUACGGUCGCAAGACUGAAACUCAAAGGAAUUGACGGGG